RNAcentral lists this ribosomal RNA (200 nucleotides) under uncultured bacterium. Its description in RNAcentral is "partial 16S ribosomal RNA". It matches the Rfam family "Bacterial small subunit ribosomal RNA", at positions 29 to 256 of the family's 1533-position model. The record is from RNAcentral.
AACGAACGCUGGCGGCAGGCCUAACACAUGCAAGUCGAACGCUCUAGCAAUAGAGAGUGGCAGACGGGUGAGUAACACGUGGGAAUCUUCCUAUCGGUACGGAAUAGCUCAGGGAAACUUGGGGUAAUACCGCAUACGCCCUUCGGGGGAAAGAUUUAUCGCCGAUAGAUGAGCCCGCGUCUGAUUAGCUAGUUGGUGAG